Molecule: ribosomal RNA, 252 nt
Filed under: uncultured bacterium
Lineage: Bacteria
Description: partial 16S ribosomal RNA
Rfam family: Bacterial small subunit ribosomal RNA
Source: RNAcentral
UACAGAGGGUGCGAGCGUUAAUCGGAAUUACUGGGCGUAAAGCGCGCGUAGGCGGCUUUGCAAGUCGGGUGUGAAAUCCCCAGGCUUAACCUGGGAACUGCAUUCGAGACUGCAUUGCUAGAGUAUGGGAGAGGGAAGUGGAAUUUCCGGUGUAGCGGUGAAAUGCGUAGAUAUCGGAAGGAACAUCAGUGGCGAAAGCGACUCCUGGACCAAUACUGACGCUCAUGUGCGAAAGCGUGGGGAGCAAACAGG